UUUGAUCCUGCUCAGGACGAACGCUGGCGGCGUGCCUAAUACAUGCAAGUCGAGCGGACAGAUGGGAGCUUGCUCCCUGAUGUUAGCGGCGGACGGGUGAGUAACACGUGGGUAACCUGCCUGUAAGACUGGGAUAACUCCGGGAAACCGGGGCUAAUACCGGAUGCUUGUUUGAACCGCAUGGUUCAAACAUAAAAGGUGGCUUCGGCUACCACUUACAGAUGGACCCGCGGCGCAUUAGCUAGUUGGUGAGGUAAUGGCUCACCAAGGCAACGAUGCGUAGCCGACCUGAGAGGGUGAUCGGCCACACUGGGACUGAGACACGGCCCAGACUCCUACGGGAGGCAGCAGUAGGGAAUCUUCCGCAAUGGACGAAAGUCUGACGGAGCAACGCCGCGUGAGUGAUGAAGGUUUUCGGAUCGUAAAGCUCUGUUGUUAGGGAAGAACAAGUGCCGUUCAAAUAGGGCGGCACCUUGACGGUACCUAACCAGAAAGCCACGGC
RNAcentral lists this ribosomal RNA (502 nucleotides) under Bacillus subtilis. Its description in RNAcentral is "bacterial SSU rRNA". It matches the Rfam family "Bacterial small subunit ribosomal RNA", at positions 12 to 497 of the family's 1533-position model. Lineage: Bacteria; Bacillati; Bacillota; Bacilli; Caryophanales; Bacillaceae. The record is from RNAcentral.